This 501-nucleotide ribosomal RNA is filed under the name uncultured bacterium. Its description in RNAcentral is "partial 16S ribosomal RNA". It matches the Rfam family "Bacterial small subunit ribosomal RNA", at positions 29 to 523 of the family's 1533-position model. The record is from RNAcentral.
AUUGAACGCUGGCGGCAUGCCUUACACAUGCAAGUCGAACGGCAGCACGGGUGCUUGCACCUGGUGGCGAGUGGCGAACGGGUGAGUAAUACAUCGGAACGUACCUUAUCGUGGGGGAUAACGCAGCGAAAGCUGUGCUAAUACCGCAUACGCCCUGAGGGGGAAAGCGGGGGAUCGAAAGACCUCGCGCGAUUAGAGCGGCCGAUGCCUGAUUGGCAUGUUGGUGGGGUAAAAGCCCACCAAGGCGACGAUCAGGAGCUGGUCUGAGAGGACGAUCAGCCACACUGGGACUGAGACACGGCCCAGACUCCUACGGGAGGCAGCAGUGGGGAAUUUUGGACAAUGGGGGCAACCCUGAUCCAGCAAUGCCGCGUGAGUGAAGAAGGCCUUCGGGUUGUAAAGCUCUUUUGUCAGGGAAGAAACACCGGCUCUAACACAGUCCGGGAAUGACGGUACCUGAAGAAUAAGCACCGGCUAACUACGUGCCAGCCGCCGCCGUAA